Molecule: non-coding RNA, 371 nt
Organism: Peromyscus maniculatus bairdii (prairie deer mouse)
Lineage: Eukaryota; Metazoa; Chordata; Mammalia; Rodentia; Cricetidae
Source: RefSeq, a predicted model, not a curated record
UGGCUAAUAGGAAGUGAAGAAAGUCUGCAUCCAAAGAACUCUCAGCAGAGACCUGAGCUGUGAAUAGGAAUUAGCUGAGAGGAACAAAGGUGUGGUGUGAUCAGCUGUUUCCAGCUCCUGCUGCCUCAACUUCCCAGCCAUGAUUGACCGUAAAAUGUUGUCUGGCCUACUCCACUGUCCAUGGUGUUCCUUUCAAACUGUCCUUCAAGCUGCUGCAAGAGAUAGUUCAGGGGUCGAAAGUGUUUGCUACCAAGCCUGACAACCUCCAUUUGAUCCCCAGAGCUGACAUUGUGGAACAGAGAAAUGUCUCCUGAAGGUUGUCCUCAGUGUGCACACAUAUACACAAUAAAUAAAUGUAAAAAUAAAAAUAA